This is a non-coding RNA of Mycena vitilis, 89 nucleotides long. Lineage: Eukaryota; Fungi; Basidiomycota; Agaricomycetes; Agaricales; Mycenaceae. The record is from the annotation of a GenBank genome assembly.
UCGGACGUGGUGUAGCGUUGCACGGCCUCGUCAAAUGUACAAAUAAUAGAGUUUUGAGGCAGUCCCAGGUUCGAUUCCUGGCGUCCGAG